UACAGAGGUGGCAAGCGUUGUUCGGAAUUACUGGGCGUAAAGGGCGCGUAGGCGGUCCGAUAAGUCCUGUGUGAAAUCCCUCGGCUCAACUGAGGAACUGCACGGGAGACUGUCGGGCUUGAGUUCGGGAGAGGGAAGCGGAAUUCCGGGUGUAGCGGUGAAAUGCGUAGAUAUCCGGAGGAACACCGGUGGCGAAGGCGGCUUCCUGGACCGACACUGACGCUGAGGCGCGAAAGCGUGGGUAGCAAACAGG
Molecule: ribosomal RNA, 253 nt
Filed under: uncultured bacterium
Lineage: Bacteria
Description: partial 16S ribosomal RNA
Rfam family: Bacterial small subunit ribosomal RNA
Source: RNAcentral